This 681-nucleotide ribosomal RNA is filed under the name uncultured bacterium. Its description in RNAcentral is "bacterial SSU rRNA". It matches the Rfam family "Bacterial small subunit ribosomal RNA", at positions 1 to 673 of the family's 1533-position model. The record is from RNAcentral.
AAUUCGAUUAGAGUUUGAUCCUGGCUCAGAUUGAACGCUGGCGGCAUGCCUUACACAUGCAAGUCGAACGGCAGCACGGGAGCUUGCUCCUGGUGGCGAGUGGCGAACGGGUGAGUAAUACAUCGGAACGUACCCAGGAGUGGGGGAUAACGUAGCGAAAGUUACGCUAAUACCGCAUAUUCUGUGAGCAGGAAAGCGGGGGAUCGCAAGACCUCGCGCUCUUGGAGCGGCCGAUGUCGGAUUAGCUAGUUGGUGAGGUAAAAGCUCACCAAGGCGACGAUCCGUAGCAGGUCUGAGAGGAUGAUCUGCCACACUGGGACUGAGACACGGCCCAGACUCCUACGGGAGGCAGCAGUGGGGAAUUUUGGACAAUGGGGGCAACCCUGAUCCAGCCAUGCCGCGUGAGUGAAGAAGGCCUUCGGGUUGUAAAGCUCUUUCGGCGGGGAAGAAAUGGCAACGGCUAAUAUCCGUUGUUGAUGACGGUACCCGCAUAAGAAGCACCGGCUAACUACGUGCCAGCAGCCGCGGUAAUACGUAGGGUGCGAGCGUUAAUCGGAAUUACUGGGCGUAAAGCGUGCGCAGGCGGUUUCGUAAGACAGACGUGAAAUCCCCGGGCUCAACCUGGGAACUGCGUUUGUGACUGCGAGGCUAGAGUACGGCAGAGGGGGGUAGAAUUCCCCG